ACACUCCUACGGGAGGCAGCAGUGGGGAAUUUUGGACAAUGGGCGAAAGCCUGAUCCAGCCAUGCCGCGUGCAGGAUGAAGGCCUUCGGGUUGUAAACUGCUUUUGUACGGAACGAAACGGCCUUUUCUAAUAAAGAGGGCUAAUGACGGUACCGUAAGAAUAAGCACCGGCUAACUACGUGCCAGCAGCCGCGGUAAUACGUAGGGUGCAAGCGUUAAUCGGAAUUACUGGGCGUAAAGCGUGCGCAGGCGGUUAUGUAAGACAGUUGUGAAAUCCCCGGGCUCAACCUGGGAACUGCAUCUGAGACUGCAUAGCUAGAGUACGGUAGAGGGGGAUGGAAUUCCGCGUGUAGCAGUGAAAUGCGUAGAUAUGCGGAGGAACACCGAUGGCGAAGGCAAUCCCCUGGACCUGUACUGACGCUCAUGCACGAAAGCGUGGGGAGCAAACAGGAUUAGAAACCCGAGUAGUCCCAUG
This 475-nucleotide ribosomal RNA is filed under the name uncultured organism. Its description in RNAcentral is "partial 16S ribosomal RNA". It matches the Rfam family "Bacterial small subunit ribosomal RNA", at positions 333 to 799 of the family's 1533-position model. The record is from RNAcentral.